RNAcentral lists this long non-coding RNA (619 nucleotides) under Chrysemys picta bellii (western painted turtle). RNAcentral's name for it is "lncRNA (ENSCPBG00000010456.1)". Lineage: Eukaryota; Metazoa; Chordata; Testudines; Emydidae. The record is from RNAcentral.
GAAGUAGAGUUCCUUUGAUGAAAUGCUACUGCUAAUGUCUUUUCAGGGACACCCAGUCUUUGCUGUCAAUUUGCUUUCCCCCCAUGUCUUAGUUUAUUUCUCUUUUCCUUCGCCCUGCUAUCACAUGACAUUUCCUCUUCUCUAAUGACUUGGCAGGAAGCUUUUGCAAUCCUUUCAGUUCUGCAAUUCUGAUCAAUAGAACUGUGUGUGCGGGGAGGCUGCAGCCACAGGCUGGGACGGACAGGACCUGGAAGCAGACCCAGCAAGCAGAAUACACCACUGCUCUUCAAAGUUUGGCAUUGGAGAGAUCACGCUGCAUCCAUUCGACUCUGGGUGGGGAGGACCAGGCUCAGAGGUUAACCAGCACUGAACAGCAUCACCUCAAUCCAGAGCCCUCUGCAUAUGCCAGGGCAGGAACACUGUGCUAGCUGUCAAGGCUGAUGGACUCCUCCAGUAGCAACAGGUGAGUUUGGAGCAAACCUCUAGCUCUCUUUUAGCAACACCCCUCUCUGUGCUGCCAGGUGCUGCUGGGGGUGUUGCAGCCAUGGCAGUAUCUUCCCACUGCUCUCUUAUGGCAGUCAAUAUAAGCGCUGUUUCAGUGCUGCUGCUGAGUGAGCAG